Molecule: ribosomal RNA, 468 nt
Filed under: uncultured bacterium
Lineage: Bacteria
Description: partial 16S ribosomal RNA
Rfam family: Bacterial small subunit ribosomal RNA
Source: RNAcentral
GACGAACGCUGGCGGCGUGCUUAACACAUGCAAGUCGAACGGAAAGGCCCUGCUUUUGUGGGGUGCUCGAGUGGCGAACGGGUGAGUAACACGUGAGUAACCUGCCCUUGACUUUGGGAUAACUUCAGGAAACUGGGGCUAAUACCGGAUAGGAGCUCCUGCUGCAUGGUGGGGGUUGGAAAGUUUCGGCGGUUGGGGAUGGACUCGCGGCUUAUCGGCUUGUUGGUGGGGUAGUGGCUUACCAAGGCUUUGACGGGUAGCCGGCCUGAGAGGGUGACCGGCCACAUUGGGGCUGAGGUACGGCCCAGACUCCUACGGGGGGCAGCAGUGGGGAAUAUUGCACAAUGGGCGGAAGCCUGAUGCAGCAACGCCGCGUGCGGGAUAACGGCCUUCGGGUUGUAAACCGCUUUCGCCUGUGACGAAGCGUGAGUGACGGUAAUGGGUAAAGAAGCACCGGCUAACUACGUG